CUCUUUGAAGCUCCAUGCUUGUUGCUGCUCCUGCAAAUUGGGGAAAAAAAACUCAAUGAAAAUCCUUUCCCUUAUAUUUUCAAAGAUCAAGGAUAAUACUUUGAGUUGAAUUACACAGUCUGAUUUGUGUUGGUUGAUGAUUGAAAGGAGAUGGCAGAACCUGUACGUAAAAAAGGAAACACCCAUCAUCGGGCAACGACAAUCCACCACCGCGUUUACCAUAGUUGACGGCGGAAGAAGUGUUAUCAUCGUCGGUGGUGCUGGAAGCGAGAAGAUCGACGUAAACCAGAUGAAAAUGAAAGCCCAAAGGGAAGGAGAAGGUACAGUCGAGAUUGAUGCUUCCAACUUAGGAUAAUUCGUUGACGGGUUGAUUGAAGGUCACCUAACAUUUCCCGUUAAGCUGAGUGGAAAAAUCGUUAUGUUGAGAGCCUUAAUAAAAAAAAGUUUAGGGCACAAAACCAAAAAACCUAAACGGUGAGGUAUUUUUUUUACUAUUAUGCCUUUAAAAAAUGUUGUUAACAAUUAGGAACUGAUUUGUCAUAUUUGAAUCAUAUGUAACCUAAAUAAAAAAUUUUAAAUAAUUUAAUGAAUAUAUAAUUUUGAAUCA
Long non-coding RNA from Gossypium raimondii (Peruvian cotton), 607 nucleotides. RefSeq lists it as uncharacterized. Lineage: Eukaryota; Viridiplantae; Streptophyta; Magnoliopsida; Malvales; Malvaceae. The record is from RefSeq and is a predicted model, not a curated record. The transcript is spliced from 2 exons.